Sapajus apella (tufted capuchin) is the source of this 893-nucleotide long non-coding RNA. RefSeq lists it as uncharacterized. The record is from RefSeq and is a predicted model, not a curated record. The transcript is spliced from 2 exons. Lineage: Eukaryota; Metazoa; Chordata; Mammalia; Primates; Cebidae.
GACUACAUCUUGGGUACAGUGUACACUGCUUGGGUGACAGGUGCAUCAGAAUUCUAGAAAUCACCACUAAAGGACUUAUCCAUAUAACCAAAACCUAUCUGUAACCCCAAAAUAUUAAAAUAAAAAAUAAAAUUAAAUAUAUAUACAGUUCUAUAUAUUUUUUUCCCUAACACUCACACACUGACUUUAACUACUCUAUGGUGAAAGUUUUAUUUUCUUUUGAAUAUUCUGAAAAAUAUGUUUACAUCUUUAUACAGUAGUCUGAUUGUUUUGGAGAAGUUUUAAAGAACUGAAGGGCCUCAACCAUUUUCCUCAAGGCUAAACAUCAUCAGCAUUUUGCUUGUUUCAACAUAGCUCUCUCCUAUUCUUGUGGUGCCUACCCCCUUUUAGGUCCAGCUUUAACAAAGAGAUCAGAUUUAUCUGGCAAUAAACCAAAAUUGGGAAUUUGCAGUGCUAGAAUUUGCCCACAUGAUCAUGUCUUCUGGUCCUAAAGGUAUAUUCCUUGAGUACAAUGGAGUAUAAGCAAUAUCUUUCAGAAAUACCCACAGAGGAACAAGUGUUCCGGAAAAAGCACUUGAAAGAAAAGUAUAGAGCAUAGGAACAGAGAAAUGGAAUCUGCCACUGAGAAGCAAAAGGUUGCCUUUUUUAAACUAGCAGUUUUGGUUUAAUGAUUACAUCAUGCUGUAAUAAGCAACCAAAGAAUUUCCAGUUGGUCCGGUACACACUCGACCCACUUAAGGCCACAUAAGUCUACAUGAAGCUAGAGCUAGAACUCUGCAAAUUCCUCACAAAUCUCCUAUCUGUACUUCCCCAUCACCCCAGAUGUUCAUGGUUGGUAAAUACUUGCUGAGUAGGUACUUGCAAAAACAAACAAAAACCACCACUACCAACAA